This 597-nucleotide ribosomal RNA is filed under the name uncultured bacterium. RNAcentral describes it as "bacterial SSU rRNA". It matches the Rfam family "Bacterial small subunit ribosomal RNA", at positions 109 to 694 of the family's 1533-position model. The record is from RNAcentral.
AGUAACACGUGGGAAACCUACCCUUUAGCGGGGGAUAACAUUCGGAAACGAGUGCUAAGACCGCAUAGACAAUGAGAUCGCAUGAUUUUAUUGGGAAAAGAGCUACGGCUUUACUAAAGGAUGGUCCCGCGGUGCAUUAGCUAGUUGGUAAGGUAACGGCUUACCAAGGCGAUGAUGCAUAGCCGACCUGAGAGGGUGAUCGGCCACAUUGGGACUGAGACACGGCCCAAACUCCUACGGGAGGCAGCAGUAGGGAAUCUUCCGCAAUGGACGAAAGUCUGACGGAGCAACGCCGCGUGUGUGAAGAAGGUCUUCGGAUCGUAAAGCACUGUUGUUAGAGAAGAAUGCUUAUCAUAGGGAAUGAUGAUGAGGUGACGGUAUCUAACCAGAAAGCCACGGCUAACUACGUGCCAGCAGCCGCGGUAAUACGUAGGUGGCAAGCGUUGUCCGGAUUUAUUGGGCGUAAAGGGAGCGCAGGUGGUGCCUUAAGUCUGAUGUGAAAGCCCACGGCUCAACCGUGGAGGGUCAUUGGAAACUGGGGCACUUGAGUGCAGAAGAGGAAAGCGGAAUUCCAUGUGUAGCGGUGAAAUGCGUAGA